This 253-nucleotide ribosomal RNA is filed under the name uncultured bacterium. Its description in RNAcentral is "partial 16S ribosomal RNA". It matches the Rfam family "Bacterial small subunit ribosomal RNA", at positions 524 to 776 of the family's 1533-position model. The record is from RNAcentral.
UACGUAGGGGGCAAGCGUUGUCCGGAAUCAUUGGGCGUAAAGAGCGUGUAGGCGGCCCGGUAAGUCCGCUGUGAAAGUCCAGGGCUCAACCCUGGGAUGCCGGUGGAUACUGUCGGGCUCGAGUCCGGAAGAGGAGUGUGGAAUUCCUGGUGUAGCGGUGAAAUGCGCAGAUAUCAGGAGGAACACCAAUUGCGAAGGCAGCUCGCUGGGACGUCACUGACGCUGAGACGCGAAAGCGUGGGGAGCAAACAGG